AAUAUCUAAAAGCUGUUUACAAUACAGUUAGAAAUUAACCAAAAUUUAAACAAGAUGCAAAAUGGUCCAUCUAAAUCAUCUGUAAUUCUGGAAACAUUAUACAAGAUGUCAUCUUGAAAUUAUCAAUUUAAGUUGUCUUGUCAGCAUUAUUUGGAAAGAGAGCCAAGCCUAAGGGACAACACUGAUGUGAACAUGUGUAACUGCUUCUAUUCUGAGCAGGUUACAUGGUUCAGUUAUUCACAUCUGCACAUAGCAUUUGCUGGGUAAUCUUGGAGGAGUUACAGGUGAAAACUCCAUAGCUUCUGUUUGAGCACUGAUACUAUGAGCCAAAGAACAAAGUAGAGCUCAUUUUCUCUUGAUUAAUUCAUGUCCUUGUCCUCAACACUGUAGCUGCACAGACACUAACGUGGUAGAAAAUUGGCUAAGCAACAGGGUGUCUCCACAUAAAGCAAUCAGCAUUGACUGACUGAAUUCAAGUCCUCGUACUGUUAAUUCUCUUCCUGGCUGGGUCUGCAUUCAAUCCUUUACUGCAUCCCAUAGAAUGGCUGCGUAAGAAACAACACCAAAACUACAGUUCUUCCUCCAUUCCCCAGUGUUUCUGCUUUAACACAAAGAACAAGUA
This 622-nucleotide long non-coding RNA is filed under the name Anser brachyrhynchus (Pink-footed goose). Its description in RNAcentral is "lncRNA (ENSABRG00000001923.1)". The record is from RNAcentral. Lineage: Eukaryota; Metazoa; Chordata; Aves; Anseriformes; Anatidae.